UUUCCGUAGGUGAACCUGCGGAAGGAUCAUUACAGAGUUCAUGCCCUCACGGGUAGAUCUCCCACCCUUGAAUAUUUAUACCUUAGUUGCUUUGGCAUGCCGUGGAAACACCAUGGGCUCCGGCUUAUGCGUGCCUGCCAGAGGAAACAAACUCUGUUUUUAGUGAUGUCUGAGUACUAUAUAAUAGUUAAAACUUUCAACAACGGAUCUCUUGGUUCUG
Molecule: unclassified non-coding RNA, 220 nt
Filed under: plant metagenome
Description: partial contains small subunit ribosomal RNA, internal transcribed spacer 1, and 5.8S ribosomal RNA
Source: RNAcentral